UACGUAGGGGGCUAGCGUUGUCCGGAAUCAUUGGGCGUAAAGCGCGUGUAGGCGGUUCGGUAAGUCCGCUGUGAAAGUCGGGGGCUCAACCCUCGGAUGCCGGUGGAUACUGUCGGACUAGAGUACGGAAGAGGCGAGUGGAAUUCCUGGUGUAGCGGUGAAAUGCGCAGAUAUCAGGAAGAACACCAAUGGCGAAGGCAGCUCUCUGGGACGGUACUGACGCUGAGACGCGAAAGCGUGGGGAGCGAACAGG
RNAcentral lists this ribosomal RNA (253 nucleotides) under uncultured bacterium. Its description in RNAcentral is "partial 16S ribosomal RNA". It matches the Rfam family "Bacterial small subunit ribosomal RNA", at positions 524 to 776 of the family's 1533-position model. The record is from RNAcentral.